Molecule: ribosomal RNA, 396 nt
Filed under: Triticum aestivum (bread wheat)
Lineage: Eukaryota; Viridiplantae; Streptophyta; Magnoliopsida; Poales; Poaceae
Description: partial small subunit ribosomal RNA
Source: RNAcentral
AUGGAGAUACCACCAGGGUUUGGUACUUCACAGACCACGGGGAAGGUAUGCAGGCUGAAGAAAUCCUUGUAUGGACUGAAGCAAUCGCCGAGGGCUUGGUUUGAUAGGUUCAGAUGUGCUGUCCGUGCUAUGGGGUAUGGUCAAUGUAAUGGUGACCACACGGUGUUCUACAAACACUCACUCUCUGAUCGGAAGAUCACCAUCCUUGCAGUUUAUGUGGAUGACAUUAUCAUCACUGGAGAUGAUAAGGAGGAAAUAGAGAGAUUGAAGGGGUGUCUAAGCAAGGAGUUUGAGGUAAAGGAUUUGGGCAACCUAAAAUACUUCCUUGCAUUGAAGUGGCUCGGACAGAGAAGGGAAUAUCUUUGUGCCAACGGAAAUACACCUUGGAUCUCUUGA